RNAcentral lists this ribosomal RNA (253 nucleotides) under uncultured bacterium. RNAcentral's name for it is "partial 16S ribosomal RNA". It matches the Rfam family "Bacterial small subunit ribosomal RNA", at positions 524 to 776 of the family's 1533-position model. The record is from RNAcentral.
UACGUAGGGCGCAAGCGUUGUCCGGAAUUAUUGGGCGUAAAGAGCUCGUAGGCGGCUUGUCACGUCGAUUGUGAAAGCUCGGGGCUUAACCCCGAGUCUGCAGUCGAUACGGGCUAGCUAGAGUGUGGUAGGGGAGAUCGGAAUUCCUGGUGUAGCGGUGAAAUGCGCAGAUAUCAGGAGGAACACCGGUGGCGAAGGCGGAUCUCUGGACCAUUACUGACGCUGAGGAGCGAAAGCGUGGGGAGCGAACAGG